GAUGAACGCUGGCGGCGUGCCUAAUACAUGCAAGUCGAGCGAACAGACGAGGAGCUUGCUCCUCUGACGUUAGCGGCGGACGGGUGAGUAACACGUGGAUAACCUACCUAUAAGACUGGGAUAACUUCGGGAAACCGGAGCUAAUACCGGAUAAUAUAUUGAACCGCAUGGUUCAAUAGUGAAAGACGGUUUUGCUGUCACUUAUAGAUGGAUCCGCGCCGCAUUAGCUAGUUGGUAAGGUAACGGCUUACCAAGGCAACGAUGCGUAGCCGACCUGAGAGGGGGAUCGGCCACACGGGAACUGGGACAGGGUCCAGACGCCUACGGGAGGCAGCAGUAGGGAAUCUUACGCAAUGGGCGAAAGCCUGACGGAGCAACGCCGCGUGAGUGAUAAAGGUCUUCGGAUCGUAAAACUCUGUUAUGAGGGAAGAACAAAUGUGUAAGUAACUAUGCACGUCUUGACGGUACCGAAUAAGAAAGCCACGGCUAACUACGUG
RNAcentral lists this ribosomal RNA (497 nucleotides) under uncultured bacterium. Its description in RNAcentral is "partial 16S ribosomal RNA". It matches the Rfam family "Bacterial small subunit ribosomal RNA", at positions 28 to 507 of the family's 1533-position model. The record is from RNAcentral.